CCUACGGGAGGCAGCAGUGGGGAAUAUUGCACAAUGGGCGAAAGCCUGAUGCAGCAACGCCGCGUGAGGGACGACGGCCUUCGGGUUGUAAACCUCUUUUAGCAGGGAAGAAGCGAAAGUGACGGUACCCGCAGAAAAAGCACCGGCUAACUACGUGCCAGCAGCCGCGGUAAUACGUAGGGUGCAAGCGUUGUCCGGAAUUAUUGGGCGUAAAGAGCUCGUAGGCGGUUUGUCGCGUCUGCUGUGAAAAUCCGAGGCUCAACCUCGGACCUGCAGUGGGUACGGGCAAACUAGAGUGCGGUAGGGGAGAUUGGAAUUCCUGGUGUAGCGGUGGAAUGCGCAGAUACCAGGAGGAACACCAAUGGCGAAGGCAGAUCUCUGGGCCGUAACUGACGCUGAGGAGCGAAAGCGUGGGGAGCGAACAGGAUUAGAUACCCUGGUAGUCCACGCCGUAAACGGUGGGAACUAGAUGUGGGGUCCGUUCCACGGAUUCCGUGUCGCAGCUAACGCAUUAAGUUCCCCGCCUGGGGAGUACGGCCGCAAGGCUAAAACUCAAAGGAAUUGACGG
RNAcentral lists this ribosomal RNA (568 nucleotides) under uncultured marine bacterium. Its description in RNAcentral is "bacterial SSU rRNA". It matches the Rfam family "Bacterial small subunit ribosomal RNA", at positions 338 to 916 of the family's 1533-position model. The record is from RNAcentral.